Molecule: ribosomal RNA, 253 nt
Filed under: uncultured bacterium
Lineage: Bacteria
Description: partial 16S ribosomal RNA
Rfam family: Bacterial small subunit ribosomal RNA
Source: RNAcentral
AACGUAGGAGGCAAGCGUUAUCCGGAGUUACUGGGCGUAAAGAGUGCGUAGGCGGACCUGUAAGUGGGUGGUGAAAGCGCCCGGCUAAACCGGGCGAGGUUCAUUCAGACUGCAGGUCUAGAGGCGGAUAGAGGGGUGCGGAAUUCCGGGUGUAGCGGUGAAAUGUGUAGAGAUCCGGAGGAACACCAGUGGUGCAAACGGCGCCCUGGGUCCGAACUGACGCUGAUGCGCGAAAGCGUGGGGAGCAAACGGG